CCUACGGGUGGCUGCAGUAGGGAAUAUUGCUCAAUGGGGGAAACCCUGAAGCAGCAACGCCGCGUGAAGGAUGAAGUAUUUCGGAUUGUAAAGCUCUUUUGUUAGAGAAGAAAAUGACGGUACCUAACGAAUAAGCACCGGCUAACUCCGUGCCAGCAGCCGCGGUAAUACGUAGGGGGCAAGCGUUAUCCGGAUUUACUGGGCGUAAAGGGAGCGUAGACGGGAUGGCAAGUCAGAAGUGAAAGCCUAUGGCUUAACCAUAGAACUGCAUUUGAAACUGCUAUUCUAGAGUAUGGGAGAGGUAGGUGGAAUUCUUGGUGUAGGGGUGAAAUGCGUAGAGAUCAAGAGGAAUACUCAUUGCGAAGGCGGCUUACUAGACCGUAACUGACGUUGAUGCGCGAAAGCGUGGGGAGCAAACAGGAUUAGAUACCCGUGUAGUC
Molecule: ribosomal RNA, 440 nt
Filed under: uncultured bacterium
Lineage: Bacteria
Description: partial 16S ribosomal RNA
Rfam family: Bacterial small subunit ribosomal RNA
Source: RNAcentral